GAGCCAAAAAGUAAUAUACCUAACAUUCUGCGUACACUUUUUCUACCUAACCCAUUACUCGUCGGUUAAUCACUUUAUUCCAAUGGAUUCCGGUGCGUAGGAAUUAGGAUAGGAUUCAACUGUAAACUCAAAACUGUGUCCAUUAAAUAGGAUCAACGUAGCCUAUUACCUAAGAUUAACUUGAUUUAAUUGCUGAAAACAUAUCAUUUACUGAAUAAAUUUAUAUUUAAGUUCUCAUAAAAAACUUAAAUAGAAAUGAUAAGUAUUUUGGAAAACAAUUCAAU
This 284-nucleotide unclassified non-coding RNA is filed under the name Hevea brasiliensis (rubber tree). The record is from RNAcentral. Lineage: Eukaryota; Viridiplantae; Streptophyta; Magnoliopsida; Malpighiales; Euphorbiaceae.